RNAcentral lists this ribosomal RNA (253 nucleotides) under uncultured bacterium. Its description in RNAcentral is "partial 16S ribosomal RNA". It matches the Rfam family "Bacterial small subunit ribosomal RNA", at positions 524 to 776 of the family's 1533-position model. The record is from RNAcentral.
UACGGAGGGUGCAAGCGUUAAUCGGAUUUAUUGGGCAUAAAGGGCGCGUAGGCUGGCGAAUAAGUCAGAUGUGAAAUCCUGAGGCUUAACCUCAGAGCUGCAUUUGAAACUAUUUGUCUAGAGGGUAGGCGGAGAAAGCGGAAUUCCACAAGUAGCGGUGAAAUGCGUAGAUAUGUGGAAGAACACCGGUGGCGAAGGCGGUUUUCUAGCUUACUCCUGACGCUGAGGCGCGAAAGUUAGGGGAUCAAACAGG